AGCAGCCGCGGUAAUUCCAGCUCCAAUAGCGUAUAUUAAAGUUGUUGCAGUUAAAAACUCGUAGUUGAAUUUCGGGGUUAGUAGGUUGGUCAUGCCUCUGGUAUGUACUGGUCUCACUGAUUCCUCCUUCCUGAUGAAUCUUAAUGCCAUUAAUUUGGUGUUUUGGGGAAUUUGGACUGUUACUUUGAAAAAUUAGAGUGUUUAAAGCAAGCUAACGCUUGAAUACGUUAGCAUGGAAUAAUGAAAUAGGACGUUCGAUCCUAUUUUGUUGGUUUCUAGGAUUGACGUAAUGAUUAAUAGGGAUAGUUGGGGGCAUUAGUAUUCAAUUGUCAGAGGUGAAAUUCUUGGAUUUAUUGAAGACUAACUACUGCGAAAGCAUUUGCCAAGGAUGUUUUCAUUAAUCAAGAACGAAAGUUAGGGGAUCGAAGACGAUCAGAUACCGUCGUAGUCUUAACCAUGAACUAUGCCGACUAGGGAUCGGAUGAUGUUAAUUUUUUAAUGACUCA
Molecule: ribosomal RNA, 506 nt
Filed under: uncultured Glomeraceae
Lineage: Eukaryota; Fungi; Glomeromycota; Glomeromycetes; Glomerales; Glomeraceae
Description: SSU rRNA
Rfam family: Eukaryotic small subunit ribosomal RNA
Source: RNAcentral